This 497-nucleotide ribosomal RNA is filed under the name uncultured bacterium. RNAcentral describes it as "partial 16S ribosomal RNA". It matches the Rfam family "Bacterial small subunit ribosomal RNA", at positions 28 to 507 of the family's 1533-position model. The record is from RNAcentral.
GACGAACGCUGGCGGCGUGCCUAAUACAUGCAAGUAGAACGCUGAAGAGAGGAGCUUGCUCUUCUUGGAUGAGUUGCGAACGGGUGAGUAACGCGUAGGUAACCUGCCUUGUAGCGGGGGAUAACUAUUGGAAACGAUAGCUAAUACCGCAUAACAAUGGAUGACACAUGUCAUUUAUUUGAAAGGGGCAAUUGCUCCACUACAAGAUGGACCUGCGUUGUAUUAGCUAGUAGGUGAGGUAAUGGCUCACCUAGGCGACGAUACAUAGCCGACCUGAGAGGGUGAUCGGCCACACUGGGACUGAGACACGGCCCAGACUCCUACGGGAGGCAGCAGUAGGGAAUCUUCGGCAAUGGGGGCAACCCUGACCGAGCAACGCCGCGGGAGUGAAGAAGAUUGUCGGAUCGUAAAGCUCUGUUGUAAGUCAAGAACGGGUGUGAGAGUGGAAAGUUCACACUGUGACGGUAGCUUACCAGAAAGGGACGGCUAACUACGUG